CGCUGGCGGCGUGCCUAAUACAUGCAAGUCGUAACGGUCUUUCUAUGGAAGCUUGCUUCCACUGAGAAGAUAGUGGCGAACGGGUGAGUAACACGUGGGUAACCUGCCCAUAAGAGGGGGAUAACAUCCGGAAACGGGUGCUAAUACCGCAUAGUUUUCUUGAUCGCAUGAUUGAGAAAGGAAAGACGGCCUUUGUGCUGUCGCUUAUGGAUGGACCCGCGGCGUAUUAGUUAGUUGGUGAGGUAACGGCUCACCAAGACGAUGAUACGUAGCCGACCUGAGAGGGUGAUCGGCCACAUUGGGACUGAGACACGGCCCAAACUCCUACGGGAGGCAGCAGUAGGGAAUCUUCCGCAAUGGACGAAAGUCUGACGGAGCAACGCCGCGUGAGUGAAGAAAGGUUUUCGGAUCGUAAAACUCUGUUGUCAGAGAAGAACAAGUUGGAGAGUAACUGCUCCAGCCUUGACGGUAUCUGACCAGAAAGCCACGGCUAACUACGUGCCAGCCGCCGC
This 512-nucleotide ribosomal RNA is filed under the name uncultured bacterium. Its description in RNAcentral is "bacterial SSU rRNA". It matches the Rfam family "Bacterial small subunit ribosomal RNA", at positions 34 to 518 of the family's 1533-position model. The record is from RNAcentral.